GAUAGGGACAACCAGAGAGAGAGAGAGAGAGAGAGAAAAGGAUAGCGACAGGGACAACCAGAGAGAGAGAGAGAGAGAAAAUGAUAGCGACAGGGACAACCAGAGAGAGAGAGAGAGAAAAGGAUAGCGACAGGGACAACCAGAGAGAGAAAGAGAAAAUGAUAGCAACAGGGACAACCAGAGAGAGAGAGAGAGAGAGAGAAAAGGAUAGCGACAGGGACAACCAGAGAGAGAGAGAAAAUGAUAGCGACAGGGACAACCAGAGAGAGAGAAAGAGAAAAUGAUAGCGACAGGGACAACCAGAGAGAGAGAGAGAGAGAGAGAAAAGGAUAGCGACAGGGACAACCAGAGAGAGAGAGAGAGAAAAAAUGAUAGCGACAGGGACAACCAGAGAGAGAGAGAGAGAGAAAAUGAUAGUGACAGGGACAACCAGAGAGAGAGAGAGAGAGAGAAAAUGAUAGCGACAGGGACAACCAGAGAGAGAAAAUGAUAGCGACAGGGACUGUGAAAAGGAUAGCGACAGGCACAACCAGAGAGAUAGAAAGAGAAAAUGAUAGCAACAGGGACAACCAGAGAGAGAGAGAGAGAGAGAAAAGUAUAGCGACAGGGACAACCAGGGAGAGAGAGAAAAGGAUAGCGACAGGGACAACCAGAGAGAGAGAGAGAGAGAAAAGAAUAGCGGCAGGGACAACCAGAGAGAGAGAGAGAGAAAAGGAUAGCGACAGGGACAACCAGAGAGAGAGAGAGAAAAGGAUAGCGACAGGGACAACCAGAGAGAGAGAGAGAGAGAAAAUGAUAGCGACAGGGACAACCAGAGAGAGAGAGAAAAUGAUAGCGACAGAGACAACCAGAGAGAGAGAGAAAAAAAAAAGGAUAGCGACAGGGACAACCAGAGAGAGAGAGAGAGAAAAUGAUAGCGACAGGGACAACCAGAGAGAGAGAGAGAGAGAGAAAAA
Molecule: long non-coding RNA, 956 nt
Organism: Oncorhynchus tshawytscha (Chinook salmon)
Lineage: Eukaryota; Metazoa; Chordata; Actinopteri; Salmoniformes; Salmonidae
Source: Ensembl